Molecule: transfer RNA, 77 nt
Filed under: Microbacterium sp.
Lineage: Bacteria; Bacillati; Actinomycetota; Actinomycetes; Micrococcales; Microbacteriaceae
Description: tRNA-Val
Rfam family: tRNA
About the family: Transfer RNA (tRNA) molecules are approximately 80 nucleotides in length.
Source: RNAcentral
GCGCCUAUAGCUCAGUUGGUUAGAGCACCUCGUUUACACCGAGGGGGUCGGGAGUUCGAGUCUCUCUGGGCGCACCA